Ribosomal RNA from Ictidomys tridecemlineatus (thirteen-lined ground squirrel), 133 nucleotides. Lineage: Eukaryota; Metazoa; Chordata; Mammalia; Rodentia; Sciuridae. The record is from Ensembl.
GUCUAUGGCCACACCCCCCUGAACAUGCCAGCUCUCUUCUGACUUCAGAGGCUAAGCAGGGUCAGACCUAAUUAGUACCUGGAUGGUAGAAAAAGGCCUUCCAAAUAGAAGUUCAAGGAGGUGAAUUUUGACU